GGCAUUUGUUGAUACCUUCAUUCAAGAUUCAUCCUUCAUUCCAGAUCCAUCAUCACUUGCAGAGCAGCUUGUGGAUACUUUUUCAGAAUGUAUUUCGAGCAAGAGAUCAUCUCUUGUGCCUGCUGGCUUCUGCAUGAAGCUUUGGCAUUGACAGACUAGAUAACAUAGUUUGCUCCAUGAACCUGUUGUGGGUUCGUGUGGCAAUAAUUCUUUAGACCCCAUUAACAUUCAUCAUUCAGACUAUCAU
Molecule: unclassified non-coding RNA, 247 nt
Filed under: Hevea brasiliensis (rubber tree)
Lineage: Eukaryota; Viridiplantae; Streptophyta; Magnoliopsida; Malpighiales; Euphorbiaceae
Source: RNAcentral